Molecule: ribosomal RNA, 440 nt
Filed under: uncultured Geobacteraceae bacterium
Lineage: Bacteria; Pseudomonadati; Thermodesulfobacteriota; Desulfuromonadia; Geobacterales; Geobacteraceae
Description: partial 16S ribosomal RNA
Rfam family: Bacterial small subunit ribosomal RNA
Source: RNAcentral
CCUACGGGAGGCAGCAGUGGGGAAUUUUGCGCAAUGGGGGCAACCCUGACGCAGCAACGCCGCGUGAGUGAUGAAGGCCUUCGGGUUGUAAAGCCCUUUUGGCAGGGAAGAGCAAGGACUGUACCUGCAGAACAAGUCACGGCUAACUCCGUGCCAGCAGCCGCGGUAAUACGGAGGGUGCGAGCGUUGUUCGGAAUUAUUGGGCGUAAAGCGCGUGUAGGCGGUUUGUUAAGUCUGAUGUGAAAGCCCCGGGCUCAACCUGGGAAGUGCAUUGGAUACUGGCAGACUUGAGUACGGGAGAGGAGAGUGGAAUUCCCAGUGUAGGAGUAAAAUCCGUAGAUAUUGGGAGGAACACCGGUGGCGAAGGCGGCUCUCUGGACCGAUACUGACGCUGAGACGCGAAAGCGUGGGGAGCAAACAGGAUUAGAUCCCCCUGUAGU